Molecule: ribosomal RNA, 402 nt
Filed under: uncultured bacterium
Lineage: Bacteria
Description: bacterial SSU rRNA
Rfam family: Bacterial small subunit ribosomal RNA
Source: RNAcentral
UCUUUGCCGGGGCGAAGCCUGACUGCGACGCCGCGUGCGGGAUGAAGGCCUUCGGGUCGUAAACCGCUGUUACGAGGAACGAAGGUCUCCGCUGUGAACAACGGCGGGGAAUUGGCGGUACCUCGAGAGAAAGCCACGGCUAACUCCGUGCCAGCAGCCGCGGUAAUACGGAGGUGGCAAGCGUUGCUCGGAUUUACUGGGUGUAAAGGGCACGUAGGCGGCCUGGUAAGCCCUGCCUGAAAUGCUUCGGCUCAACCGGAGUAUGUGGUGGGGGACUGCCGGGCUGGAGGAUGGGAGAGGCGAGCGGAAUUCCCGGUGUAAGGGUGAAGUGUGUAGAUAUCGGGAGGAACACCAGUGGCGAAAGCGGCUCGCUGGCCCAUUUCUGACGCUGAGGUGCGAAAG